CGACAUCACAAUCUUGGAACUCCUCCUCUCCAAAUCCCCCAACAUCCAGCAUGAGAUGAACGACAAUCCAUGGACAUAUCAUCAUGGAAACGACGAUGAAUCCACCGACAAGGAGCUGAUCUUCGUAAGCUUGUCCUCGUUGAGCGAAUCGCGGUGGAUGCUGGUGAUUGAGGCACAAGGACAUGCUUCAAUACUUGCUGAACGC
This 205-nucleotide long non-coding RNA is filed under the name Linum usitatissimum (flax). RNAcentral's name for it is "long non-coding RNA (LUSI_LNC003387)". The record is from RNAcentral. Lineage: Eukaryota; Viridiplantae; Streptophyta; Magnoliopsida; Malpighiales; Linaceae.